RNAcentral lists this ribosomal RNA (625 nucleotides) under Enterobacter sp. Its description in RNAcentral is "bacterial SSU rRNA". It matches the Rfam family "Bacterial small subunit ribosomal RNA", at positions 56 to 671 of the family's 1533-position model. Lineage: Bacteria; Pseudomonadati; Pseudomonadota; Gammaproteobacteria; Enterobacterales; Enterobacteriaceae. The record is from RNAcentral.
UGCAAGUCGAGCGGUAGCGGGGGUAGCUUGCUCUUUUGGCGGCGAGCGGCGGACGGGUGAGUAAUGUCUGGGAAACUGCCUGAUGGAGGGGGAUAACUACUGGAAACGGUAUCUAAUACCGCAUAACGUCGCAAGACCAAAGAGGGGGACCUUCGGGCCUCUUGCCAUCAGAUGUGCCCAGAUGGGAUUAUCUAGUAGGUGGGGUAACGGCUCACCUAGGCGACGAUCCCUAUCUGGUCUGAGAGGAUGACCACCCACACUGGAACUGACACACGGCCCACACUCCUACGGGAGGCAGCAGUGGGGAAUAUUGCACAAUGGGCGCAAGCCUGAUGCACCCAUGCCGCGUGUAUGAAGAAGGCCUUCGGGUUGUAAAGCACUUUCAGCGGGGAGGAAGGUGAUGAGGUUAAUAACCUUGUCUAUUGACGUUACCCGCAGAAGAAGCACCGGCUAACUCCGUGCCAGCAGCCGCGGUAAUACGGAGGGUGCAAGCGUUAAUCGGAAUUACUGGGCGUAAAGCGCACGCAGGCGGUCUGUCAAGUCAGAUGUGAAAUCCCCGGGCUCAACCUGAGAACUGCAUUCGAAACUGGCAGGCUAGAGUCUUGUAGAGGGGGGUAGAAUUCCA